RNAcentral lists this unclassified non-coding RNA (522 nucleotides) under Hevea brasiliensis (rubber tree). Lineage: Eukaryota; Viridiplantae; Streptophyta; Magnoliopsida; Malpighiales; Euphorbiaceae. The record is from RNAcentral.
GCGCUCCAAGCUUGGCUACAUUUUUGCGCGCGGCGCCUUUAACGCCUUGCGUGACAAGAUGGACCCCCGCAAGGUCAAUGGCGGCGUCUUCCUCGGGUUGAACGGCGUGGUCAUCAAGAGCCAUGGCGGCACCGAUGCCGAGGGCUUUGCGUCGGCAGUUGACGUUGGCUAUGACAUGGUUCGCUACGAUCUCCNAGAUCAAUCAAACACUCAACCGCGACGGCCACGCUCUUUCGAUCGUGCCCAACGCGCAGGAGGCUGUCUCGUGACUGUGAUGCGUUCGGUUGUGCUCGGCUAUGGCGCUUACUUGCCGGAGCGCGUUUUGACCAACGCCGAACUGGCGAAGAUGGUCGACACCUCGGACGAAUGGAUCGUUCAGCGCACCGGCAUCAAGCAGCGCCAUAUCGCGGCGGAGGGUGAGUUCACCUCGCAUCUCGGUCUGAAGGCGGCACAGGCGGCGAUCGCCAAUGCCGGGAUCGACACGCAGUCGAUCGACCUGAUCGUGCUGGCGACCUCGACACC